RNAcentral lists this RNase P RNA (305 nucleotides) under Thermodesulfobium acidiphilum. RNAcentral's name for it is "Bacterial RNase P class A". It matches the Rfam family "Bacterial RNase P class A", at positions 12 to 328 of the family's 367-position model. Rfam says of the family: Ribonuclease P (RNase P) is a ubiquitous endoribonuclease, found in archaea, bacteria and eukarya as well as chloroplasts and mitochondria. The record is from RNAcentral. Lineage: Bacteria; Pseudomonadati; Thermodesulfobiota; Thermodesulfobiia; Thermodesulfobiales; Thermodesulfobiaceae.
AGGCGCGCAACUUACAAGCUAACUGCUUGAGGAAAGUCCGAGCUCCUCUGGGCAGGAUGCUGGUUAACUGCCAGAGAGGGAAACCUCUGGAUAGGGCCACAGAAAAAAACUACUAUCCUUUGAUAGUACAGGUGAAAAGGCGAGGUAAAAGCUCACCGGCAGAAGAGCGAUCUUCUGGCCCGGCAACCCCCAUCCGGAGCAAGGCCAAAUAGGGAAGGAGAUAGCCCAGGUCGUUAUUACUUCCGGGUAGGCCGCAAGAGGCUAAGGGAAACCUUAGUCCCAGAUAAAUGGUUGCGAUCCUUUUU